Molecule: long non-coding RNA, 1314 nt
Organism: Capsicum annuum
Lineage: Eukaryota; Viridiplantae; Streptophyta; Magnoliopsida; Solanales; Solanaceae
Exons: 2
Source: RefSeq, a predicted model, not a curated record
ACGGCCUAAAAUUGAAUCAACAUAAUCAGCCCAUUGGAAGGCUUUUCCUACUCCCAAUAAACCAAAUGCGCGUGGUUGCACUUCCCCAAAAAUCAGUCGUCACUUCUCCUUCUCUUUCCCCGAAAUAGCAACCUUUCCUCCACCCCACACCCCUCAACCCCACCCCCAAAAACUAAACCCUAGCAGACAAGCUUCAACCACCUUCUGUGCGAUCCAUCUCCCCUACCCUGAAAAUCCGCCAAAUCCACUAUAGCUACGAAAACAGGCACUAUUUUGGGUGCAAAAAUUUAAAAUCGCCAUUAAUGGCCUGAAAAAUCAAAGAUCUAUUUCAGAGUUCUUGUCAAAUUUCAAAUCAAUUUUUUUCUCAUGUUUUGUUUAAUUCGAGUUUCAAAUCCGGACUUUCAUUCGCCUAUAAAUAUGGGUCCUCAUAAUCUCUGGGAGGGGAACAAGAAAAGUAGGAAGGAAAAAGAGAGAGAGAAGAGAUAGGUAAAAAAAGUGAAAAAUAGGGGAUUUUUGGACAUCCAAGCUCGAAACUAAAGGGUAACUCUUAAAAUCAGCGAAAUCUUGCGGGAAUCAUAAGCAAAGUCGUGAAAACUGUGGAUUGCACCGUAUGCAUUUUGCAAGAAAAUUGCAUGUGGAGAUUGUAAAUGUAUGUGCAUGGUUUGUGGAAAACUGAAUUCAGUAAAAUCUUAUUAUGAAGUUAUUGGAAUGGGUUGGAACUUUGAGGAGGGAUCUGGGAUCCAGGAUGUAGCCAUGCCCUUUUAGAUUAAUAUGGUGUAAAGUUAUUUUUGGUUUGAAAAUUUUAGAAGAUUCAAUCCAUUUGGGCAAGAGUUUAUCUUUGGGUUUUGUCGUUACAUACAUUUUUUUUCUCCCGGUGAGUAAACAUUUUAUGAAGUUGGAAUAUUUUAAAACAAGUUUACAUGCCCAGAUUCCAUGUUGUGUCUUUUUGUUAACGCAUUUGUUUAUGUGAUCUCACCUUAAUAUUUUCAACCUUUUCUCUAUUUGAUGUUUUUCUAAUCCUUAUCCUUUAUUUUUACAUGUGAACCUUGGGACUUGGAGUUCCGCGACGGAACUCAUCUUGACCCAAGCAUUGGGUCAAUUCCUACUAGGAGCACAGAGCCUCGGAGUCCCGCAAAAUUGCGAGCCUAAAACUCCUAAACGGAACCUAACUUUCUUAUUGUUUUUAGAUCUAAUUUAUCUUGAUCGCAUUGAGUUUUGUUUAAACACUUGUUGUCUAUGUUGUUUAAGGGAGCUUUAUUUUAUUCUCGAAUUUAUGUUGUUAUGUGGCUAGUAGAUCCUUUUACAUGGUUUUAA